RNAcentral lists this ribosomal RNA (433 nucleotides) under uncultured bacterium. RNAcentral's name for it is "partial 16S ribosomal RNA". It matches the Rfam family "Bacterial small subunit ribosomal RNA", at positions 29 to 507 of the family's 1533-position model. The record is from RNAcentral.
AACGAACGCUGGCGGCAUGCCUAACACAUGCAAGUCGAACGAAGGCUUCGGCCUUAGUGGCGCACGGGUGCGUAACGCGUGGGAAUCUGCCCUUUGGUUCGGAAUAACAGCUGGAAACGGCUGCUAAUACCGGAUGAUGACGAAAGUCCAAAGAUUUAUCGCCAGAGGAUGAGCCCGCGUUGGAUUAGGUAGUUGGUGGGGUAAAGGCCUACCAAGCCGACGAUCCAUAGCUGGUCUGAGAGGAUGAUCAGCCACACUGGGACUGAGACACGGCCCAGACUCCUACGGGAGGCAGCAGUGGGGAAUAUUGGGCGCUGGGCGCAAGCCUGGUCCAGCAAUGCCGCGUGAGUGAUGAAGGCCCUAGGGUUGUAAAGCUCUUUUACCCGGGAAGAUAAUGACUGUACCGGGAGAAUAAGCCCCGGCUAACUCCGUG